CUUGCUUUCUUUGCUGGCGACCGGCGCACGGGUGAGUAACACGUAUCCAACCUGCCCUUUACUCGGGGAUAGCCUUUCGAAAGAAAGAUUAAUACCCGAUAGCAUAAUGAUUCCGCGUGGUUUCAUUAUUAAAGGAUUCCGGUAAAGGAUGGGGAUGCGUUCCAUUAGGUUGUUGGUGGGGUAACGGCCCACCAAGCCUUCGAUGGAUAGGGGUUCUGAGAGGAAGGUCCCCCACAUUGGAACUGAGACACGGUCCAA
This 258-nucleotide ribosomal RNA is filed under the name uncultured bacterium. RNAcentral's name for it is "partial 16S ribosomal RNA". It matches the Rfam family "Bacterial small subunit ribosomal RNA", at positions 75 to 334 of the family's 1533-position model. The record is from RNAcentral.